This 119-nucleotide ribosomal RNA is filed under the name Pteropus alecto (black flying fox). Lineage: Eukaryota; Metazoa; Chordata; Mammalia; Chiroptera; Pteropodidae. The record is from RNAcentral.
GUCUAUGGCCAUGCUACCCUGAACAAGCCCAAUGCUGUCUGAUCUCUGAAGCUAAGCAGGGUCCAGCAUGGUUAGUACUUGGAUGGAAGACCACCUAGGAAGACCAGGUACUGCAGGCU